CAGUCAAAGCUGCUGUGAACUG
This 22-nucleotide microRNA is filed under the name Magallana gigas (Pacific oyster). RNAcentral's name for it is "Mgi-Mir-2-o58a_5p* (star (passenger))". Lineage: Eukaryota; Metazoa; Mollusca; Bivalvia; Ostreida; Ostreidae. The record is from RNAcentral.